GAUGAACGCUGGCGGCGUGCCUAAUACAUGCAAGUCGAGCGAACAGACGAGGAGCUUGCUCCUCUGACGUUAGCGGCGGACGGGUGAGUAACACGUGGAUAACCUACCUAUAAGACUGGGAUAACUUCGGGAAACCGGAGCUAAUACCGGAUAAUAUAUUGAACCGCAUGGUUCAAUAGUGAAAGACGGUUUUGCUGUCACUUAUAGAUGGAUCCGCGCCGCAUUAGCUAGUUGGUAAGGUAACGGCUUACCAAGGCAACGAUGCGUAGCCGACCUGAGAGGGUGAUCGGCCCCACUGGACCUGAGACACGGUCCAGACUCCUACGGGAGGCAGCAGUAGGGAAUCUUCCGCAAUGGGCGAAAGCCUGACGGAGCAACGCCGCGUGGGUGAUGAAGGUCUUCGGAUCGUAAAACUCUGUUAUUAGGGAAGAACAAAUGUGUAAGUAACUAUGCACGUCUUGACGGUACCUAAUCAGAAAGCCACGGCUAACUACGU
RNAcentral lists this ribosomal RNA (496 nucleotides) under uncultured bacterium. RNAcentral's name for it is "partial 16S ribosomal RNA". It matches the Rfam family "Bacterial small subunit ribosomal RNA", at positions 28 to 506 of the family's 1533-position model. The record is from RNAcentral.